Molecule: ribosomal RNA, 484 nt
Filed under: uncultured bacterium
Lineage: Bacteria
Description: partial 16S ribosomal RNA
Rfam family: Bacterial small subunit ribosomal RNA
Source: RNAcentral
GACGAACGUUGGCGGCGUGCUUAACACAUGCAAGUCGAACGAUGAAGCCGGAGCUUGCUCUGGUGAAUUAGUGGCGAACGGGUGAGUAACACGUGAGUAACCUGCCCUUGACUCUGGGAUAACUGCGGGAAACUGUAGCUAAUACCGGAUACGACCCUCGGAGGCAUCUCCUGGGGGUGGAAAGAAUUUCGGUCAAGGAUGGACUCGCGGCCUAUCAGCUAGUGGGUGAGGUAAAGGCUCACCAAGGCGACGACGGGUAGCCGGCCUGAGAGGGUGACCGGCCACACUGGGACUGAGACACGGCCAAGACUCCUACGGGAGGCAGCAGUGGGGAAUAUUGCUCAAUGGGCGCAAGCCUGAUGCAGCAACGCCGCGUGAGGGAUGACGGCCUUCGGGUUGUAAACCUCCUUUAGUAGGGAAGAAGCGAAAGUGACGGUACCUGCAGAAAAAGCACCGGCUAACUACGUGCCAGCAGCCGCCGUAA